Molecule: long non-coding RNA, 619 nt
Organism: Stegodyphus dumicola
Lineage: Eukaryota; Metazoa; Arthropoda; Arachnida; Araneae; Eresidae
Gene: dre4
Source: RefSeq, a predicted model, not a curated record
CUUUCCCCCCCUUUCCUUUUUUUUAGCUGAUCGAGAAAGAGAUGAUUUUCAAGAUGAGUACACUAAGAAGCCGAAGUCCAAAUCAAGAGGAAAAUCAAGCCCUGAAAAGAAUUCUUCAAAACAUAGUAGUUCCAGAAAAUCUAAAAAAAGUCCUGCUAAGAGUAAACCAAAUGAUAACAAAAGAAAACGAGAAAAUGACAAGCAUAGUAAAGAAUCGAGUAAAAAGCACAAGAAAUGAUUUGGUGUAUUAUAUUUUCCAAGAAUUCCUGUGCAUAAUCAAAGCACCGGGGAUCCUCUGUUUUGGGGAACAUUCCUCUGCAUCUGCAUCAAAUUGUUCCUGAAAGGAGUGAAACAGUACUGAUGCAUCUUUUGUAAAAUAAUGUAAUAUAUUUAUAAAUUCAUUCAUCAUUGAACUGCUUUUAACUUCCCCGGAAGAAGUAUAAAAUGAGAAAAGAAAUAUGUAGGAACAUUUUACAUUGUAUGUUGUUACACACAUUGUCUUAUAAAACAGUGCAGGUUUAUCAUUUGUUGGCAUAUUUGUAAUUCCCUCCAGUUCAAUAUGUAAAAGGAUGAAGUAGAUGCUUCAAUCCAAAUAAAGUGACAAAUUUUUUAGUACUUU